Molecule: ribosomal RNA, 207 nt
Filed under: uncultured bacterium
Lineage: Bacteria
Description: partial 16S ribosomal RNA
Rfam family: Bacterial small subunit ribosomal RNA
Source: RNAcentral
AGCGCAGGCGGACCGGCAAGUUGGAAGUGAAAACUAUGGGCUCAACCCAUAAAUUGCUUUCAAAACUGCUGGCCUUGAGUAGUGCAGAGGUAGGUGGAAUUCCCGGUGUAGCGGUGGAAUGCGUAGAUAUCGGGAGGAACACCAGUGGCGAAGGCGACCUACUGGGCACCAACUGACGCUGAGGCUCGAAAGCAUGGGUAGCAAACA